Molecule: ribosomal RNA, 406 nt
Filed under: uncultured bacterium
Lineage: Bacteria
Description: partial 16S ribosomal RNA
Rfam family: Bacterial small subunit ribosomal RNA
Source: RNAcentral
AUUGAACGCUGGCGGCAGGCCUAACACAUGCAAGUCGAACGAGUGGCGGACGGGUGAGUAAUGUCUGGGAAACUGCCUGAUGGAGGGGGAUAACUACUGGAAACGGUAGCUAAUACCGCAUACCAUCGGAUGUGCCCAGAGGGGUUUAGCUAGUAGGUGGGGUAAAGGCUGACCUAGGCGACGAUCCCUAGCUGGUCUGAGAGGAUGACCAGCCACACUGGAACUGAGAAACGGUCCAGACUCCUACGGGAGGCAGCAGUGGGGAAUAUUGCACAAUGGGCGCAAGCCUGAUGCAGCCAGGGCGCGUGUAUGAAGAAGGCCUUCGGGUUGUAAAGUACUGUCAGCGGGGAGGCGGGAGCAGAAGAAGAAGCACCGGCUAACUCCGUGCCAGCAGCCGCGGUAAUUG